UGGGGAAUAUUGCACAAUGGAGGGAACUCUGAUGCAGCGACGCCGCGUGAACGAAGAAGGCUUUCGAGUCGUAAAGUUCUUUUAUAUGGGAAGAUAAUGACGGUACCAUAAGAAAAAGCCCCGGCUAACUACGUGCCAGCAGCCGCGGUAAUACGUAGGGGGCUAGCGUUGUCCGGAAUCACUGGGCGUAAAGGGUUCGCAGGCGGAAAUGCAAGUCAGGUGUAAAAGGCAGUAGCUUAACUACUGUAAGCAUUUGAAACUGCAUAUCUUGAGAAGAGUAGAGGUAAGUGGAAUUUUUCGUGUGGCGGUGAAAUGCGUAGAUAUUAAAAAGGAUACCGGUGGCGAAGGCGACUUACUGGGCUCAUUCUGACGCUGAGGAACGAAAGCGUGGGUAGCAAACAGG
This 403-nucleotide ribosomal RNA is filed under the name bacterium. Its description in RNAcentral is "partial 16S ribosomal RNA". It matches the Rfam family "Bacterial small subunit ribosomal RNA", at positions 355 to 776 of the family's 1533-position model. The record is from RNAcentral.